AAACCGUGAUAAGGGCAGUUGCGAAGAAGAUCUUUAAAUUGUUCAUGGGCUUCAAAGAGUCUCAGUAUCACCUUGCCUGAAAAACGAUAUCUCCUGUCUCAGUCU
Dioscorea cayenensis subsp. rotundata (Guinea yam) is the source of this 105-nucleotide small nucleolar RNA. NCBI's taxonomy places the organism in Eukaryota, Viridiplantae, Streptophyta, Magnoliopsida, Dioscoreales, Dioscoreaceae. The record is from RefSeq and is a predicted model, not a curated record.